UUCCGAAGUAUUGAGUUCAGGUCAGGGCAGCUUCCCUGUUCUGUUAAUUAAACUUCAGGACAUGGAAAUGGGCUAGGGAAAAUGACUGACUAGAAAAUAUUACUCUAUUCAUUUAUCUCCCAGCCUACAAAA
RNAcentral lists this small nucleolar RNA (132 nucleotides) under Dasypus novemcinctus (nine-banded armadillo). The record is from RNAcentral. Lineage: Eukaryota; Metazoa; Chordata; Mammalia; Cingulata; Dasypodidae.